RNAcentral lists this ribosomal RNA (407 nucleotides) under uncultured bacterium. RNAcentral's name for it is "partial 16S ribosomal RNA". It matches the Rfam family "Bacterial small subunit ribosomal RNA", at positions 30 to 526 of the family's 1533-position model. The record is from RNAcentral.
AUUGAACGCUGGCGGCAGGCCUAACACAUGCAAGUCGAGCGGAGCGGCGGACGGGUGAGUAAUGAAUAGGAAUCUGCCUGGUCGUGGGGGAUAACGUCCGGAAACGGGCGCUAAUACCGCAUACUAUCAGAUGAGCCUAGGUCGUAUUAGCUAGUUGGUGGGGUAAAGGCCUACCAAGGCGACGAUCCGUAACUGGUCUGAGAGGAUGAUCAGUCACACUGGAACUGAGACACGGUCCAGACUCCUACGGGAGGCAGCAGUGGGGAAUAUUGGGCAAUGGGCGAAAGCCUGAUCCAGCAAUGCCGCGUGUGUGAAGAAGGUCUUCGGAUCGUAAAGCACUUUAAGUUGGGAGGCGGUACCAACAGAAUAAGCAACGGCUAACUUCGUGCCAGCAGCCGCGGUAAUUC